Molecule: non-coding RNA, 3005 nt
Organism: Xyrichtys novacula (pearly razorfish)
Lineage: Eukaryota; Metazoa; Chordata; Actinopteri; Labriformes; Labridae
Source: the annotation of a GenBank genome assembly
CGAUUUUGUAAACUGCGCCCACCGGAGGAGCUCUGACUUCCAUCCAACUACCAGUAAGUACCUGUUUCCAACUAAAAACAUUAGUUUUUAGCAAGUCGGCAAGUCCAAAUAACUGUAUAUGGUCUAGAGAGGAAAAUAUCCAAUAAUAACACCAUAAAAUUAUCAAGUGCCGUACUGCGCCUGCUUGUAGCACAGAAAAUGGUCAGAUAGGGGAGAGUGGGGUAAAUUGAGCCAAGGGUAAGUUGAUGUUGGUCCCUAGUAAGCAGAUGUUGGAAGUUAAUGAAGAUUUUGCCUGUAUUGAUGGUGGUGUUAUUGUUCACUAGGUGGGCUGGUCCAUCAAACAUUUGCCAGAAUUGCCAGAUUGCUGUAACUUGCCUGUCUGGUUGCUAGAAAUCAAAACUCAGAUGUCGUACGACAGCAGCAUGAGCUUCUUCUAGUACAAUAUUUCGUUCAAGCUUUCUGGACAUUUAACUGUGAGCAUGAACCUUAAUGGUGGUAUUAAAGUUAUAUUUAGAAGAUCACCAAAGUUAAUAGGAUUCCUCUUCAGAGGAUCAUAAAUGUCUGAUAAAAUGUAAUGAAAAUUCAACCAUUAAUUGUUAAGAUGUCUGAAUUUUAACUGACUGGCAGUGCUGCACACAGAGCAAUGCAGCUAAUAUGGCUUGCAAAGCGUAUGCAUACAUUCCCCCGUGAUAUUGAUUGACUUUAUACACUCCUAAUUAAAAUCCUCACUUAUUUUUUAUCUGUUGGUGUUAGGGGUAAGCAUAAGGAAACCCCUACAGAGAAAGAGACAGAGAAACCAAGUGGGAGACAUUAUGCACGGUGUCUCCACCCUGCAGGGCAGUAAAGCAUAUCGAUGGUUGGCUAGACUGCACCGGGCAGCUGCUGUGGCGUAAAGAGGAGCAGACCUGCCAGACACACAGAUGUAGAGUAAUGAGUCAUUGUGUACUGGAAUAUUGUCAAAAGUCUGCAUCUCUGUUUUGCUCCCUUGUUCUCCGUCUCCCCAUCUCUCUCUCUGUCUCUCUCCUUCUCUUUGUAUUGUGCCAGGCUCUGUGUUUAUGCUUGAAUUUGACAUGAAUUUCAAUUUAAUGAGCAUCUUCCAUGCCUCUGCUUGUUUCUAUUUGAAGAAUGGCACUGACAUGGCGUUCAGAUGAGGACUCAACUCUCACUUGUGACCACACGGUAUGAAAUAAAGUUUAAUAAGGUCAGAUUACACAAAGCAGCAGCAAAGGGCAGAAUUUGUAAAGGUCACAGCAGGGGUAGAAAGGUCUCAGCGUGCAGCUCAGUAGGGAAAUAAGGCAGAAUAAUAUGACAGUGGGUAACAAUGAGGGACAAGAAAACAAAGGCACCGAAAUGCUGCAUACAUUUUAAGUUUUUUUUCCCUCACUUGUGCCCUCAAUAUUCGUUUGUCAGAGACUGAAGUCUGGCUUUGGUUGGUAGUGAACUUUUGUAAACCUUGCAGGUUCUAUUUUUGGCCUUCGUUAAACAAAAGGUGUUUUUUAGAGUGGAACUAUGGGAAUCAAUCCAAAUGUAUUAAUGGACAGCAGAAACGUAACGUACAGUGGUUACAGACAUGUCCCACCAUUUAUGUCUAGUGCAUGUCAAGUAAUUCAAUCAUACCAUAAUGGAGAUGCAGAAUAUCUCCAAGAAAAGAGUCACAGUUCCCUUCGUUUUAAUGUCUUCUUUUUAACGUAAUUUUUGUCAGUGUUUUUGUAUUUAACUUACAGAGCAAGUUUAUGACUGCAUAUUAGAACAUGAAUGAAAGGGAGUAGCUGUACUCCUCCUCUGUUUCUUUGACUUUUUUGUGUUUAUUAGCAGUUGGCAGACCAGCUAAGAGGUGCAUUACUGCCACCUACUGGAACAAUGGGGGAUAAGGGCAGGGGGGGAUACAGGGAAAGCAGGGAGAUUUGGGCAUCAUCUCAAUUAUCAUCCCUACCCAUGUAUAUCAGAGAGUUGUUGAAAGUAGUUAAAGCAUUUAAGUAGUUAAAGUAACAUCACUCAAUGGGAAAACCAUCCAGUCAUAGGGUAGAGUAAACAUUACCAUAAAACCACACUUUAAGUAGAUACAAUUGAAAGAACUAAAUUAUAUACCCAAAAGCCUAUGAUUGAAUAUGCAUGUCUUCCUAACCCCUCCUUCCCAUGACACCCCUCAAACUCUUAAAUAAGUGUUUUAGCCUUAAGUAUUCCAAAAAAACAAAGUUGUCAAGCACACUGGUGUCAGCACAGUCUUUACAAACAACGGCUCAUUUCAUGAUAGACUGGUUUAACUCCAAAACACAACAGCUUGAGUUUGUUUGAUGUGUGAAACAUACUCAUAAAAGUUUGUCUUUGCACAGGUUGGGAGGCUGGAUCCUCAUUAGUGACCAUCUGUAAUCUGCUUAAUGGUAAGAAACGAAUAUGAAGUAUUAAAGAGUGACUCAGUCUAGUUGUAACUUACACCCCCUCUUAAAACUGUGCUACUGUAAGUGAAUGAAUUCAAGGUGAUCGUAGUUGCUGUUGUCAUUCAAUGCUGAAAGGUUAUUUGGUAUACUAGAAAAACUAAUUCAUCUCUGUCAGAUAAGAGGGACUGUGAGCUGAAUCCUGUUUGAGUGAAGUUUUGUUCAUGUGUCUACUUAAACGUCUGAGACUGCCAUGUGCUGGAGAAGUUCGAGGAGGUCAGGUUGACAUUGUACUGAGAAUUCAUAGAAGAGAGGCAGAGAUAGACAUAUUUAGUUACAGAUACUCAGUCCUUUUAGCUAGACUGUGAUUUCCUAAGAGUUUCAACAAAAGCUUUUUCAAAACCACUUAAUCAUUGCUAGUAUAUUGAGCAUCACUGUCCUUCUCUUAUAGACCGAUCAGCUUAUUUAUGUUUAGGUGUCAUUUGAUAUGAAUAUUUUUGUGUUCCAGGCUGAUGGUAAAAAAAAUCCAGUUCGUAAUGUUCUUCGUUGAGCUGCGUCGCCCCGCAGCAGACCGUAAUGGACUGGCCCGAGGUCUCGCUACAAACAAGUGGCUGCUGGAGGAGAGUAGGU